UCGGACACAGAUUCAUAGGUCACUUUUAUUUUCUACAGUAACAAACAUUUACUCAUCUCCCUCCUCCAGCAACAGGGAAACAAAACAAGUGGGCCCCGAGCACCCAAGAACCAGUAGAGG
Galeopterus variegatus (Sunda flying lemur) is the source of this 120-nucleotide long non-coding RNA. RefSeq lists it as uncharacterized. The record is from RefSeq and is a predicted model, not a curated record. NCBI's taxonomy places the organism in Eukaryota, Metazoa, Chordata, Mammalia, Dermoptera, Cynocephalidae. The transcript has 2 exons.